Equus caballus (horse) is the source of this 5772-nucleotide long non-coding RNA. NCBI's taxonomy places the organism in Eukaryota, Metazoa, Chordata, Mammalia, Perissodactyla, Equidae. The record is from Ensembl.
AUUAGAUUCCCUCAGCUUUUUCCUGGCCUCCUUCUUCUGUCCAAGGACCCUACAUGACAUCUGGUCAUCAUGUCUCCUUCGGCUUCUCUUGGCUGUGACAGUUUCUCAGAUUUUCCUUGUUUUGGAUGAUCUUGAUGGUUUUGAGGAGAACUUCUCAGGGAUUUUAAGGAAUGUCCCUCAUUUGGGAUUCAUCUGAUGUUUUUCUCAUGAUUCAACUGGGCUUGUGGUUUCUGGGGAGGAAGACUACAGAAGUGAAGUGCCUUUCUCAUCACCUCAUAUCAAAGGAACCCCUGAUAUGGUCAAACAGCCAGUUUAUUAUACACUGGUAAUGUGGACUUGGGCAUGGCUAGGGUGCUGCCCAACACUCCGAGGGCCAGAAGGAAGGCAAGAGGGAGGAGUCUUGGCUGUUGGUCCGGUAUAGCAAGCAGAGGGCUAAGGAAUGUAUACAUCUCAAAAGCCAGGAUCCUACAGGACACUCUGAAAAUGGAAUUUAUAUCCUAACCCAGGGAGUCACUGCUGUGUCUGUGGAUAAAGUCACCAUGCCAUCACGAACGUGGGAUGAUUCUUUGGGAAGAUGAAUGGCAAAAGCUUCUUCUGGCAGAGAGAUCUGCAUGUGGAAUUCCCCUUGAAACGCGAGGGACUAUUGCCACGAUCGCGGCUCCAGCCAUAUGAGGCUGGUUUAUAAACAAAAAUCCGGGAAAGCUUUGGCUUAAUUUAAAACAGGAAGCAGCGACCCAGAGGGGAAGGCUGGACAGUCUCGGAGGGUGAGCCUUUCUUGCAGUUGGGGAAGGCAGACAGAGGUCUUGGUUAAUCCGAGGUCUUCUGUGAACCGAGUUUGAGAAAAACAAAUCACAGAAAUUUUACCAGGAAACUUGGUUGAACAGGGAUUUUAUUGCACAUCUGGAAGAUGUUUUCAGGUAUUCAGAGCCUUUAGAAUGAAAGUUGGUGAGCCUGCAAUGAGGGCGUGUGUUUUUAUGGGCAGAAACUCCAUUACUACACGCUGAAGACAUAAGGGUGUUUGUAUUCUUCUGUGUUCCCUUGAUGAUGCUAAAUGGAUUUGUUACCCUCCUCUUCUUUUCAAAUUCAUUGGCUAAAAAAGCAUAGACCUAAGUAGAAUUCUCUAAGUGGGUUUAACCAUCGAAAUGGUGGCUCAAUGAAGCAUUGAUUCUGAAACGUCUUAAUGGGAUCCUUGAUGAUUUAGGUCACCUAACCACUUUAGGUGACAGAACCUUUGGACAAAGUCCAUUAUUCUCACUUCAUAUUCUACUAAUAAUACAUCAUGUCGAGAUGAUGCAAAACCACCCAUUUGUCCCCAAACCAAGAAUGCCCUUCUUCAAUGCUUCCAUUCCACGUAGGUCUACUGUGUUUUAUUUCCAUCACGCUAUCCCAGGCGGAAGGACAUGCCCAGGAUGUAAAAUCAUUAGUGGAACAUAACCUAACAACGCCCUUUUAGAAUGAUCAUGUUUAUCUUAAACACAACAUUGGAUUAAGCGUUUAUAUUAUCGUUAAAACCUCGAAAUAAAGAACAAUAAACCAAAGAGAUUCCAACGCCUUCAAAGUAACUCUGAAGAGGAAACCUGUCUCAUGUCUUGCCUGGGAUCUCAGAGGGCUGUGUUCUGCCAAAUGUGUAAUUUGGGCAGAUAAAAAUAAGUUGAACGGGUUUCAGACAUCUGUUGUCAGACUUUGGCAGUGGAUAAAUAAAAGCAACACGGCAGACGGUCAAGUCCUUCUCAGCACUGGUUGUGACAGAGAAAUUCUGAAAUCCUUUGCAAUUGGCUUUCAAAGAGGUCACCCAAUAAGGUCUUUUUUGGGGAAGAGUUGACAUGGAAAGAGCAGAAAAGUCCAGUCAUAGAAUGGGAUGAUUUUUAACAAAGUGAGCAUUUUUAUUAUAAACUUUACAAAGUACCACCCAAAGCUAACACGUUCCUUCAACCGUUGUAUUGAGUUAGGAGCCCAAGAACUUGUCUGAAUCCCUUAGACUUUGUCUCUUGGUGGUGGCAAGGAUGACGUGAUAAGAUUCCAAAUAGGAGAACCGGACUUGAUUUCAGAAGACGUGAGCCAAAAAAUCCUUCCCAGACUCUUCACUCUGAGCUGGUUCAACGAGCAUUUCUGAGAAGGGGCUAUUUUCAUUUUCCUGGAUAAUCAAUUACGGGAAGCAGAUGUUGCAUAUGUCAAUCUAUCCAAAAGGCCCAGGUGUCGGAGAGUGACUUGGUUUCCCCACUGGUGUCUUGAGAGGAAGCACUGCCCUUUUGUGAAAAAUACACAAGUCUGCACUGACUUUCACUGAUCGUCUGUAAAGAUGGAUGCUGGUUCCCUUUCUUGGCUCUCUAGAACUCCUUGCGGGGGGGAAAAGCUGGGCACACCAGCCUGCCAGCAUCUCCUCCACCCCAAGGUUGUCUGGAUUGCAGCCAGGAGUCACCGUGGGUGCCGGACCCAUGGUCACAGCCACAAUGGCCACAGUGAACCACAAGCGAGAGUCCCCAAGGGGGCCAAGAAAUGUUCUCCCAUGCACACUUGUGGCUAAGUACCACCAGGGCAGCAGAUAGAUAGCGUGAGGACCAGAAAAGUGUGGGCAGAGACCCUGACACAGAGACCUGGCACAGAUUCCAUCUCUCUGAGUUACCUCUUUGCACCUAGCCAUGAUGGGGGUUUAUCUUCAUUGAGAGUCUCCUGUGCAUUCGAGGUGACAUGGGUUCUGUUAAUCUUCUGAUCUAGCUUGGCUUUUAAAAACUGUAUCUUUAAAGCACUUUUCUUCCCAGAAUAUUUUCUUGUGCAAAGUUCAAUGUACCAACUGGCUGGGAAGAUGACAACACAGCUUCAAAUGCAUCCCGAUGAUGGCCAGAUCAAUGGAGAGGUCUGCUCUCCCUCCCACCUCAAGUCUUUAAGGGAGUUAGAAAGCAAGAGCUUAGCACAAAUAAACUUCUGCUCUCAUCACUUCCUUUGCCUGAUCUUUUCAAGUCAAGAGGUUUAUGAUUACUGUCAUUAUGACUAUUGUCAUUAUUAUUUCAUCCCCCAGUUAACUACAGUAAUAGCCUUAAAAACACAGCUCUUGGCAAGCCUCUGAGUCUCUUGACCAGAUCUAUGGCGGUGAUGAGAAUAGGGAAUUUUUGCUGAUCUAGGCACGUAUCUGCCUCGGGUCCUAAAGCCAUGAUGCCCAGAUCCCACAGGACUGACUCACAGGUUUGAUUUGUUUUUCCAAGGGCACUCUUAUAAGAAUCAGCAUAGGAAAACUGGCUUUGGUGAAAAGCAUGGGUGAUUCAGUAAGAAAAGCUUUUGCAUGCCAGGGAGCAGUGGGGACAUUACGUUUUUGGGCUUUUGCCAUUUCUGGCAUCACUGAGACUGUGUGUCUCCCAGAGGCACCGCUUCAGCUCGCCCUGCUGCAAAUGGUAUCUGGUAAGAUGAUGGAUGGCUGAGGUUAUUGGCAAGGAAUGAGUGCUGAUUACAGGGGUCACACCGGGUUCCUAGUGAAGGCUGGAUAAACUGUGAAGAAGUUAACGGGGUGAGCAUAGCGAAGGAUGGACAUGAGCAAGUCCACAGUGACCGGGAUGCCCAGUGUCCCAACUGGGCUUGCCUCCACUUUGGAAUGUUGCACAGUUCAUCUCAUUAAAACCGAGUUGCCCUGCAAGGAUGCCUUACAUUUCUACCACUUCUGAGAAAGCCCUGCUUCAUUUAGUUAAAAGGGAAUAAUCCAGGGACAUCUACGGAAAGUACUCAGAGCAGAAAACGCGUCAUUACAGGGAUCUUAAUCCUGAACCGAGGCAAGAGGUGUUGUGUGACAAAUAACUUCACACUUUGCUCUUGAACUGGGUCCCACAGUGGGGUCAUAUCUUAAGACUUAAAAUAAGUCCUCAUGCAUUCUCAUAAAAUAACCAGGGGGCUCCCUGAAAAGUAGGGAAUUAUGAGCUGCUCUAACCAAAUAGCCUUCUGUAGACAACGAAAGACUUCAUCUGCAGCCAUUUCUCCCGUCUUCCUUGUGGAGUCUUGAUGUUUUCCUGUGUCACCCUAUAUACGAACACACAGAGAGACAGUGGCUCCACACCUUAAAAGUGAUCCUGGUCCCUCCGAAUGGCUGGCGAGACAACACCUUUUUACAAAAUUAUUAGUAUUAUGUUAUAUUUUUAAUUGCAGACCCAGGUUGUGCAACCUUGCAUCUCAACUGUGCUUUAACUCGGCCUUAGACAAAUGUUCUUUGAAGUUUGUUUAUGAAAAAAAGGACAUCGAGAAGUUGGACAGAACCCGGUGGAGCACAAACAAGCUUUUUCUUCUUUGUCGCCGAAAGCCUGUUUCUUGCAUGUUGUCCCGUAACUGAAGUUGAAAGCAACGUUAUCAACAUUUCUGAUAAAAAGCCUUUUCAUCGUGCUUCAGGCUGAGGUCUGCAUUUCCUGUGGAUUUGAUGCCUGGGAUGCUAUGUUCUUUGUCUCUGUUACUCUGAUAACCUUGAAGUAGGUUCCCACUCAGUGUGCCAAAAAAGCAAGCAAAUUGUUUAAAGACCUUUUGGUAACUAUUUGGACGAUGCUUGGAACUUUGUAUACUGAUGUCUGUCUAUUCUUCUUUCAAUGGGUUGUGUAUUUGUAAUACCUAAGAAUAGUAAAUUAUCAUACACUUUUGCUAUCUAUGCUUUGAGUAACUUACGAAGACGACUGUCUGUGAUCCUCCUAGUUUCUUUUGGGCCAUGCUUUCUUCACCAUUAAUUAGAACCCAAGCUGCCAGAAAACGCCUGUGUUGCUACAUAAAAAUGGCCGUGUCCUCACUAAAGCAUGGUAUUUCGUGUUUCGUAGGAGCCUUCCCUCCCUUGUCAGAUGCAAGGAGAUGGGGGCCCCUCACACUUUCUCCUCCGCUGCCUCCCCCAGGCCACUGCAUUCUUAUCUCCUCUCUCUCUUUACUCACCUGUGAAGAUCAGCUCUUCAAAGCACUUUUAACUUGAAAGAAGUAGAGUUGGGGUUUUUCCCAAUGCUGCCUAACGUUCAGAAGGAAAGAAAUUCUUAAAUGCAAACUCACCAGCAAUCUCUUUCUCUGUUUCUUUACAACUUUUUGACGGACACAAAGAUUGUUUUUUUUGGAUGCAACCAUUUUUAACUGAAAGUAUGGAAGAGUUGUUGAAAGAAUGUGUGUUACUCUUUUCUCUGUAAUUCUGAUUUAGCAAAAUUUCUGUAGCAAGUUGGGAUUAACAAUCUUCUAGUUUUAACGGAGGUUGUUGAGGAGGGAUGCGACCUGAAAGCUGAGGAUUACAGUAAUUGCGUGAACUCUGUUUUUUGGAUGAAGGAAAAGAAAUGAGGUGAGUAAAUUUGGUAAUACCUGAAAUGGAAACAGAGUUAAUUAGUGUUGAAUAAAAUGUUGGCGCUAAGAGCGUGAAUGCUGAACUCAACACUUGCGACUGGUCUUUUUGAGCGUUUCAGUAAUUGCAUGACUUUAAAAUAGUCAUUAUAAAGAUAUAUGAGAUCUACCUGUUUCCAUCACUAAUUCUUAUGAAUCUUUUGGAAAAACAUGAGCUUCUCUGAACCUCAGUUUCCAAUUACGACAAACAAAGGGAUGGACCAUAUCUAAGACAAUUUCAUGUGUUAAGCUUGUGUCAUUUUAUUGUAUCUGAAGAGAGAGAAUUUCAAUUCAAAUGAUUUAAUUGAGCAUGCCACCAUAGUAACUAGCUUUUUAAAACUUCAUGCUAAUCUUCACCUUUCAAAAAUUUUUUUUCUUGUGACCUAAUAACUACAAUCAUAACACACCUGAAAUAAAAGUGUUGAAUGAGAGGUUUCAAAUAAAAAAUUAAUUUCCAAC